CAGAGUGACAGCUACUGAAUCUUUUUUAAGAUAAGGUAAAGGAAAAUAAUGAUACUACUUUACUAUUAGUGUCGUCCAAUACUGGUGCCAGAAGACUCGGUAACGCCAGAGACGCAAACGUUAGUCAUCUUAAACAGGCGUAAAGGGUUUGUAGGCUGCUUCCAAUAUUUUGACAAUUUGAAAUAGCUCAUGUUACUGAUGAUGUAAAGUGCAUAUGAAUUUAAAAAUAAAGUGAAGAUAGAAUCAAAAAGAGGUUAAUAUAAUACUUAGAGUAGUGUUUCAAUCCGUAAAUACUAAGUAGAAUACUAGGAGCGAAGGCUGUUAACCAUUAAUGAUUGACGCUGAGGAACGAAGGUUAGGAUAGGAAAUAGGAUUAGAGACCCAUGAACCCCUCACUGUAAACGAUGAAUGGUAGUUAUCAGAAUAAUAACUGGUUUCGAGGUUAACGCGUUGACCAUUCCGCCUUGUGAGUACGAUUGCAAAAUUGAAAACAAAAAAAUUAGUCGGUCUCGAAGCAAACGAAGUGAAGCAUGUUAUUUCAAAAAAACCCCCCCAAAAAAA
This 561-nucleotide ribosomal RNA is filed under the name Neohypochnicium farinaceum. Its description in RNAcentral is "Neohypochnicium sp. JD-2023a partial small subunit ribosomal RNA". It matches the Rfam family "Bacterial small subunit ribosomal RNA", at positions 410 to 973 of the family's 1533-position model. The record is from RNAcentral. Lineage: Eukaryota; Fungi; Basidiomycota; Agaricomycetes; Polyporales.